This 201-nucleotide ribosomal RNA is filed under the name Clostridioides difficile. RNAcentral describes it as "partial 23S ribosomal RNA". It matches the Rfam family "Bacterial large subunit ribosomal RNA", at positions 2281 to 2481 of the family's 2925-position model. Lineage: Bacteria; Bacillati; Bacillota; Clostridia; Peptostreptococcales; Peptostreptococcaceae. The record is from RNAcentral.
GGUCGCCUCCCAAAAGGUAACGGAGGCGCUCAAAGGUUCUCUCAGUACGGUCGGAAAUCGUACGUAGAGUGUAAAGGCAAAAGAGAGCUUGAUUGCAAGCCAUACAGGUCGAGCAAGGAUGAAAAUCGGACUUAGUGAUCCGGUGGUUCUGCGUGGAAGGGCCAUCGCUCAACGGAUAAAAGCUACCCUGGGGAUAACAGG